GAAUAUUGGACAAUGGGCGCAAGCCUGAUCCAGCCAUGCCGCGUGAGUGAAGAAGGCCCUAGGGUUGUAAAGCUCUUUCACCCGCGAAGAUGAUGACGGUAGCGGGAGAAGAAGCCCCGGCUAACUCCGUGCCAGCAGCCGCGGUAAUACGGAGGGGGCUAGCGUUGUUCGGAUUUACUGGGCGUAAAGGGCGCGUAGGCGGAUGUUCGCGUCAGAGGUGAAAGCCCCGGGCUCAACCUGGGAACUGCCUUUGAAACGGGACAUCUUGAGUUCGGGAGAGGGUAGCGGAAUUCCCAGUGUAGAGGUGAAAUUCGUAGAUAUUGGGAAGAACACCGGUGGCGAAGGCGGCUGCCUGGCCCGAUACUGACGCUGAGGCGCGAAAGCGUGGGGAGCAAAC
RNAcentral lists this ribosomal RNA (397 nucleotides) under uncultured bacterium. RNAcentral's name for it is "bacterial SSU rRNA". It matches the Rfam family "Bacterial small subunit ribosomal RNA", at positions 359 to 773 of the family's 1533-position model. The record is from RNAcentral.